This is a non-coding RNA of Phoenix dactylifera (date palm), 3748 nucleotides long. Lineage: Eukaryota; Viridiplantae; Streptophyta; Magnoliopsida; Arecales; Arecaceae. The record is from RefSeq and is a predicted model, not a curated record.
UCUUCUGUACCAAUUCCACCAAGGCGUGGACCAAAGGGUUUUCCCUGUCCUUCUCCCAGUCCCCGGCUGCUAAAAGAUUCUAUGAAUCUUCACUCACGUCCUUAGAUGCGCAGACACCUUCGUUUUUUUUUCAGAAAAACAAACUGUAACUCUUCCCGGUGCAUGCCUCGUUUCAUUCUCCAUAAAACAAUCACUUGUCAGAACAAAAGCCUAAAAUCCAAAACACUUCCUCUUUCCGCCCUUCUUUCUUCUCCCCAAGAUGCUUCUCUGCGUUCAUCCCACGAUCUCCUCCUACCCUGCUGCUACUUCUAAAACGUUCCUCUCAUCUCAUCUUCAUCAAAGAAGAAACCCUAUACCAGCUCGGAGAUUCCCCAUCCCUCGAUGCCCCAAACUCUCCAAAUACCCCAACCUCAUCACCCGAACACCCUUCUCUUCUUUCUCCUCCAACCCUUGUCGCCGUCUUCCAAGUUGCAGAGCCCAGAGCGAGCCCCUCUCGCUCUUCCCAGUCGCCAUCUCAGAUGAACACGACGCCAUUAGCCCGUGCCUGGACCUCGAGGAUGCGGGAAAGACUGAAUCUGGGGAGGGGAAAAAUAAGAACAAGAGCUUCUGGGGUGCUGUCGGUCUGAUCAUAGGUACUGCUGUUGGGCCUGGAAUGCUCGGCCUUCCCUCGGCCACCAUUCGAUCGGGGCCUGUUCCUUCCACCAUCGCUAUCAUCCUCUCAUGGGUCUACGUGAUCUCCUCGAUUCUCCUGGUUGCGGAGUUCAGCUUCGCUGCCAUGGAAGAGGAUCGGGUGGAGGAGGUGAGCUUCACAGCUCUGGCAACCAAAACCAUGGGGCCGACUUUUGGAUCUUUUGUCGCCGUCAUCUAUGCCUGCCUUAGCUUCUCUCUUCUGAUUGCAUGCGUCUCCGGCAUCGGUUCUCUUGUCGUUCAGCAGUUUCCUUUGAUUGAUCCCAUCGUUGCUCAUGCUCUGUUCCCUUGUUUCGUCGGGAUUGCAAUUGGAUUCUUCCCUUUUAAGGCCAUCGAUGUCGCUAAUCGGUUGCUCUGCUCUCUCAUGCUCUUUUCGAUCACAGCUCUCGUGGCGAUCGGUGUUUCGGUUGGAAGAAGCAACUUGUUGGGUUCUCUUGCAUAUGCUUGUUGGAAGGCUGAGGCAAUCUUGCCUGCAAUUCCCGUGACUGUGCUUACUCUAGGCUUCCAUGUUAUCACCCCCUUUGUGUGCAAGAUUGUGGGUGAUUCAGUGUACGAUGCGCGAAAGGCAAUCCUUAUCGGAGGUGCUGUUCCAUUGGCAAUGGUUCUUUCAUGGAAUGCUGUUGUCUUGGGGCUAGCAGGGGCUGGUAAUGUGGCCUUUGAUGAUCCUAUUAAGCUGUUGCUCUCUGUGAACUCCUCUGCUUUGCCUGCUGUUCAAGGUUUUGCAUUUGCUGCACUGGCCACCAGUUUGAUUGGUUAUGCUGUCAGCUUCCCAAAACAACUAGUGGAUACAGUAAAGUUGAUUGCAGAGAGGUUUCAUAGGAAACCGAUGGAAUGCUCUCAAGUAGCAGCUUUUCCAAAUGGAAACCAGAAAUUUGGGAGUUCUCAUGAGGGCAGCCAAGUUGGACUUGCUGUCAACUCAAAGGAAAAGGCUAGGAUUUUUGGACCAGCUUCUUGUGCUGGAGGGGAGUCUCAGAUGUUCUCCGAUGGAGUGAAUCGAAAGGAGGCCAUGGGAAUUCUUUGUGAAAGCCCUACUAGAGGAGGUUAUAGCAGUGGGAGCACAAAUGGAUCGGUCCCUUUGGAUGCUAGUUCUAGCAUGAGUAAUGUCCUUGUGACGUGGCUCGUACUCAUCAUUCCCAUCUUCAUAGCUUCUUUCUUCCCUGCAGCUUUCUCCAAAGCUCUAGAUUUUGCUGGAGUAUAUGCAAACUGCUUUCUUUUUGGAGUCCUACCCCCAGCAAUGGCUUGGAUUCAUCGAUCCAGGAAGAGAUACAGAUUGCCUGAGUCCAAGGAAGAUUUACUGCCUGGUGGAAAUGUGGCUCUUAUGUUAUUAUUUACCAUUGCUGUCAUACUAGGAUUCUGGCAUUAGAUGGUCACUGUUAAUUAGGAGUUCAGUCCUUUGCUUUGUCAAAAUGGCGGGCUCUUCUAGUGCUAAAAGUGCUGUGAUGCUGGUAUUCUUGAUGGUGAGCCAAUAAACAAUAGCAAGCUAAUAUUCCUGGAACAUCUCAAAGAAGAGUUAAUAUUCCUGGAACAUCUCAAAGAAGAGCUUGAGGAAUUAUCUUAUAUUAAGUUGCAUGGACUGGAGAAAGUUUUCUCCAGAAUCAGAAGUUUAUCUGGCUUUCCAGUUUCUGCUACUUUCUGAGUUGGAGACCCCCUUACUCAAACCCUGAAGCUCAUGCAAAUUUCAUUCAUUUGGUUGUCUAUCAAUUAGUAUCAUGGGCCACAACUAUUUCAGACAGCAGCCUCUUGAUUCUUUAGCAGCUAUAAACUCACCUUCCAAGUUACUCGCUUUGAUCGAGCUACAACCAGGAUCCAACUCAAGAAGCUUCUUGGUGGCAAUCUCGGCUAGACUCAACUUGCCAUGCACCUUGCAAACUCCUAGCAGUGUCCUCCAACUAAUAGGAUCUGGUCUCAUUGGCAUUUUUGUGACAAACCUCUGAGCCUUUUCCAGUUCGCCUGAGCGACCAAGGAGAUCCACCACGCAUCCGUAAUGCUUCUUGUCUGCCAAUCAACUACGUGCACAAGCAAUCAGGGGAUCAACCAAGGUAACAUCGUUGCUGAAAUCCUUCCUUCAACAUAUCAGAGAAAACUCCAAUGCACUUUCUACAUAGCCAUUAGCUGGUAACCAUAAUGUAAUUGAAUUCCAUGACAAGGAAUCCUCCUUCAUCCCACCAAACACUCUGAAUGCCUCCAUCACGCAUCCACACUUUGAAUACAUAUCUAUCAAGAUUUCCCCACAUAAAUAUCUGCCUUAAUGUUGUUUCUCGGAAUAUAAUUACGAAUCCGCUACCCUCGAUUACGUGCACCCAAAUGUGCACAAACAGAGAGCACACUGACGAGCACGAUAUCAUCUGGCUUUACCUUCUGCUGAUUCAGAGAAACGGUUUGCUUGAGAUUGAGAAUAUGCAGUGAUCAUUGAACUCCAAGAGAUCAAGUACCUCUCAGGCAAGCCAUCAAAGAUUCUCCUUCGUGUCUGUUGUGAUCAUGGCAUUUAAAGUCACAACAUUCCUCUCCUUCAUCUCACUGAAAAUCCUUUGAGCUGUUUCCACGGAUCAAUGUUGGCCAUAGCACCCAAGUAAACAUCAACCUCGACGCAUUUCUCCUCUACAUACCUGACCUUUGACUCGGCCAGCUCCCACUGUCCCAAAUGAAUGCAAGCUGAAGCAACCUUCACCAUCGCCACCUCGUCACCGUUCACUCCUUCCUGCGUUGCUUCAGAAAGUUGCAGUACCUCUCUCAAUUGCUUGUUUUGGCUAUACCCGCAAAAAAAACCCAGCAAGUCCAAGACACUACAUCUCUCACCGCCAUUUCAUCAAAAACCAAACUUGCGCAGCUCAAAAGUCCAUAUGAGGCGCAAAGAUGAACCAACGCAUUCGAUAUGAGGAUAUCCGAUACCAGACCAAGUUUCAAGGCCAUAUGAGUGUGUCCUUUUGCCUUCUCUGCUUGCCGGAAUUCUUGCGCAAGCCUUGAGUACAGAAGGGAAGGUCAGAUUAUCUUACGCCAGGCCAUACUCUCGCAUUCAGUUGGAGCAAAAGAUGGCAUCUUUGGGCAUAUCACUUUUGGAUAA